Molecule: non-coding RNA, 2434 nt
Organism: Microcebus murinus (gray mouse lemur)
Lineage: Eukaryota; Metazoa; Chordata; Mammalia; Primates; Cheirogaleidae
Source: RefSeq, a predicted model, not a curated record
UGAGGCCACGGCACUCACUCUAAACUGGCAACAGAGACUCGGUAUCAAAAAGAAAAAAAGAAUAGUGGGAAGGAGUUGGCCUCCCACAGGAGUUGGGCUUUCGCUGUGUGGAGUUUGCAGGGAGCAGGUGCCGCGAGGACUCGCAGGGGGCGCGGGCGACUCGGGGCGGGCGCGCCCCACAGAGCCCAGGGCCGGGCAGACUGUCCUCUGACGCGCGGGCGGCAGUGACGUCCACGAGCAGGUAGACUGCCGCCGGUGUAGCCUGUGACAAGGCCGGACGGGGACCCCGGUGCCACUGCAGCCUCUAAACUUUGUUUGCUGGGUGCUCGACACAUGAGCUGUGACCGGCAAAGGAAACGUCCCGUCCUCCGCCUUCCGAGGGGGAGGCUCUGGCGGGGUCCCCACGCGUGGGCCACCUGCGCAGGUCAGGGACGGAGGUCGGGCGGGAACUCCUGGACGCCGUCCCAGACCGUCUUCGCCCCGCAUCUCCAGGGGGAAGCUGGGCUCUUCCAGUCACAGGCCCAGCCGGGCGUGCCUGGGACUGAAGUUUAUUUAAGAGCUGCGACGCGGAGGAAGAGGACCCCGCGUUGAUACUUCUCCUCCUCUGAGGCGGGCCGUGCCGUGUGGCGAGUCCCCGCCGCGCCGCCCUUUUGUGGCGACGCACUCGACCCUGAGCAGACCUCGUCCGGGUCGCCUCAGCCAAGGGCCGUGCGCCAGAUAUUCUCUGCUGAGGAGAGAAGCUGAGGAGAGAGGCAGGAGGGAACACAGAAACACCCAAUCUGUUAUAGUUAUUCAAAGAGUUUUCAAACAAGGAAUGCCAUCCCACCCCACGUUCUCGGGACACAGCGGCGCCCGUCUCUGAACUGGCGGCGUGGCGAAACCGGAAGCGCCGUUUGCGCGCGUUGUUCAGCGCGCAUGCGCUGACGGGCUGCAAGCCAUACGCUGGCGUCGGGCGCCAUGUUCCGUCAGCUUUUGCGGCGCGUGUCUGAGGCCGAUGCGGCAGCUCUCUCAGCGCGUUAGCGCCAUGCACGGCACUCUUGUUCUCUUUCCAGUGCCUCGGGGAGUGCCUGGCACACAGCAGUCACUCCAUAAAUGCCUGAGCCGGUCCAGUCCCGUUCCUGAAGUGAGGCGCCAGGUCUACACGCGUCCAUCUUGUAGUUCACGUCCCCACUCCUGUCCCCCACAGGCGAGCUGCCCCACGAAAUACCUGGGCAAGGAGUUAAGAGCAUCUCCAGGUUGCGUGGGCACCACCUCAGGAGCACGCUGGCCGCCACCCUGCCCGAGGAAUGAGACCUGGAGCUCAGGAUACGGAUUCUUACCCGCCAAAACCCAGGAGAGAGACCCUCCUAAGGAUCCGAAGGUGUCAAAGCCUCGCAGAGUGUGGUACAUGAACACGUGGAGCCAGGGUGCAUUCAUUUUCAGAACUUUCUGCUUGAAGAGGGGUCUGGACAAGUGCACGAUUCAUUCUGGAUUAUGUACGAAUCUUUGAUGCUGACAAGGGAGUUGUCCUGUUGCCAAAAUCAGCCAAACUGAUCCCGUGACCCCACCCACCUGUGCUCUUGUCUCCCUUUGCUGUGGACGUCAGAAAGUAAAUCCCAACUUCCCACUUCCCCUGUGGCCAGGUGGCACCUGAGGAAUCUGGCUGCUGAUUAAAACCCACGUGUGAUUUCCAGGCCCUCCCUGCAGGCCGUACGGCAAAAGGACUGGUGUGUCCAGGAGUGGCGGGCAAGGCCGCCCCACCCCCCACUCCCGCCAGCCAUCGCACACACCUGCACUCCAGCUCCCGAGCUCCCUGUGGGCCUCAGAGAACCCCGCAGGGAAGACACUUCUCUCUGACUCAAUCCUCUCCCACUCUCAGCCCUUCCCCUCAUGCUACCCAACACCCACCCACUGCCCCAGGUCCGUAAAACUUCAGGAGCCUUUUGUUUGAGGACCCCUCGAGAGUGAGCUGACCCCCAUGUCUGCGCUGACCCUGCUGGCCCUGGGCCCUGCGGGUGCUCCGGUCCCUGGGAGUCAGCACAUCUCGCAGCUAUAGCCUGUUGCUGGCGCUAGUGUGGUAAGCCUUCUCUGUGCCUUUGGUUUGGCUUGUUGUUGCUUUAAUUAGCUACUCUAAUGCCUGGCAGCUCUCUCAGGUCAACUGAGCUCCUGACAGAGCCAUGGGCUGCAAUUUUGGGCAGUUUUCAUCUAAGAGGCAGUCAGCUGCUUGGUUUGUAAGGGGCUGGGGAUGGAGAAUAAAUGACAUUCUGCCUUUGUCCUGGCCAGGCGACAGGUGUGAUGGUUGGAGAUGCAGCAGCCAUUAUACGAGCACAAUGUGAUAAGCCAAGACCCUAAAUAAAGGUGCCAAGAAGAAAGGUCAAAAGAGCCUGGGUUCUUGAUAACACUAUCGAGCCACUAUAAUAGGCUCAGGAUAUCUUUGUACUUCUUCUUGUGCAAG